GAGUUUGAUCCUGGCUCAGCAUGAACGCUGGCGGCGUGCCUAAUACAUGCAAGUUGAGCGAGCUUGCCUAGAUGAUUUUAGUGCUUGCACUAAAUGAAACUAGAUACAAGCGAGCGGCGGACGGGUGAGUAACACGUGGGUAACCUGCCCAAGAGACUGGGAUAACACCUGGAAACAGAUGCUAAUACCGGAUAACAACACUAGACGCAUGUCUAGAGUUUGAAAGAUGGUUCUGCUAUCACUCUUGGAUGGACCUGCGGUGCAUUAGCUAGUUGGUAAGGUAACGGCUUACCAAGGCAAUGAUGCAUAGCCGAGUUGAGAGACUGAUCGGCCACAUUGGGACUGAGACACGGCCCAAACUCCUACGGGAGGCAGCAGUAGGGAAUCUUCCACAAUGGACGAAAGUCUGAUGGAGCAACGCCGCGUGAGUGAAGAAGGGUUUCGGCUCGUAAAGCUCUGUUGGUAGUGAAGAAAGAUAGAGGUAGUAACUGGCCUUUAUUUGACGGUAAUUACUUAGAAAGUCACGGCUAACUACGUGCCAGCAGCCGCGGUAAUACGUAGGUGGCAAGCGUUGUCCGGAUUUAUUGGGCGUAAAGCGAGUGCAGGCGGUUCAAUAAGUCUGAUGUGAAAGCCUUCGGCUCAACCGGAGAAUUGCAUCAGAAACUGUUGAACUUGAGUGCAGAAGAGGAGAGUGGAACUCCAUGUGUAGCGGUGAAAUGCGUAGA
RNAcentral lists this ribosomal RNA (725 nucleotides) under uncultured bacterium. RNAcentral describes it as "bacterial SSU rRNA". It matches the Rfam family "Bacterial small subunit ribosomal RNA", at positions 9 to 694 of the family's 1533-position model. The record is from RNAcentral.